GAGAUCUUUUUGCUGAUCCUUUCUUCCCUUCCAAAAAAAACCCUGAACAAUUUAUCUUGUUAGCACAUGGUUUGGUAGGAUAAAGUGCCUACAUUAGUAAUUUUGCAUACCAAAUAGCAUUAGCUGGACUAAUUGCAACCUGCCAGCAAAAGAUAAGUGUCUGGCUGCCCAAUUGUUGAUCCUUGCUGCUACCCUAUCAAGCAAUGGUAUACAAUCUUUCUCUGUGAGUCUUCUAGUUACCAAUGGAAGGAUCUGUUUCCAAAAGUACCCUAAGAAAAAAAAAAACCUUUCUUCUCCCAGCCAUGUCCAGUUAAGAAGAUGUGAAAUCACCUUUCUCUUUAUAUGAACUAUGCAUUUCGAGGUAUGAAGUAGGAAUGAGGUGAUUUCAUAAUUGGGGUUUUGAAUAAGACGACCUUUUCAUUUUUCAUUUUUUUUUUUUUCAUAUUGAAAAAAUAAUAAGAAUGAGAGGUGUUAAGCUUUUUAUCAUCCUGGCGUCGAGCUAUUUUUCCGCAGGACCUCCCCUACAGUAUCGUCACCGCAGUAGAGUUUAACCACCAAGUUCGGGAGGGAUCCAAGAUACCUAAUUGGUACUGACCCAAUCUUGAACCUUACAGCUUGCUGAAUUAAGGAUAGCUCUUCCCUACUAACCCUUAAAUGAUAAACCUGACUCUUUCCACAAUUCAAUUGCAAAUCAUACAGUGUAAAAAGCCUCAAAUACCACUUUUAUUCUUGCCGCUAAAUCCAAGGUUCCUUUUGUGUGGAUUAAUAAGUCAUCAGCAAAGCAAAGAUGGGUUAAUUUAAUCCUUUUGUAUUUUAGGUGAUAAGAAAAAGCACCAGUUUGUAACUGCAUUAUCCAAGAGUCUAGACAAGACAUUAAUAGCCAAGUCAAACAAGGGAAAAGUGGGUCUCCUUGCCUUUUUUCGCUUUCACCUUUGAUAUAGCCGACCAACUUGCCAUUAAGAGAAAUAGAAAAUAAAGAAGUAGUGAUGCAACUUCUUAUCCACCCCAUAAACUAAUUUGG
RNAcentral lists this long non-coding RNA (1021 nucleotides) under Durio zibethinus. RNAcentral's name for it is "long non-coding RNA (DZIB_LNC001699)". The record is from RNAcentral. Lineage: Eukaryota; Viridiplantae; Streptophyta; Magnoliopsida; Malvales; Malvaceae.